CAAUAAUCGUAAUAAUAUUUUCGUGAUGUAAUUUUGUAGGCAGCUGGCGUACUUGAUGAGAAAAGUAGGUUAAAGCUGAUCUGGCAAAUGCGCAAUCAGAACUGUUAACAAUGUCGCAAUCUGCGGACGGAGAUGAAUUCAAGGAACUGGAGAAGAGAAUGGAAUCUGUAAAACUAGAAAUAGAUAUUCUUAUGUAUGACAUUAGCGUGAGGGCAUGCUCUUUCCACCAGAUGUUGCUACAUGGCUCUUAGGAAUCGACAAUCGAGGGAUAGUGG
This is a non-coding RNA of Paramuricea clavata, 275 nucleotides long. NCBI's taxonomy places the organism in Eukaryota, Metazoa, Cnidaria, Anthozoa, Malacalcyonacea, Plexauridae. The record is from the annotation of a GenBank genome assembly.